CCCUUAGAUGUUCUGGGCCGCACGCGUGCUACACUGAGUGGAUCAGCGGGUCAGGUUGCGCGAAAGCGUUUCCUAAUCUUUAAAUCCGCUCGUGAUGGGGACUGACGGUUGCAAUUUUCUGUCAUGAACGAGGAAUACCUUGUAAGCGCGGGUCAUCAUCCCGCGCUGAAUACGUCCCUGCCCUUUGUACACACCGCCCGUCGCUCCUACCGAUUGAGUGGUCCGGUGAGGCUUUGGGAUCUGAGCGGAAAGAGCGUUUCGCUGUUUCUGCUCGGAAAACUCAGUCGAACCUUAUCAUUUAGAGGAAGGAGAAGUCGUAACA
RNAcentral lists this ribosomal RNA (322 nucleotides) under uncultured eukaryote. Its description in RNAcentral is "partial 18S ribosomal RNA". It matches the Rfam family "Eukaryotic small subunit ribosomal RNA", at positions 1470 to 1796 of the family's 1831-position model. The record is from RNAcentral.